UACAGAGGGGGCAAGCGUUGUUCGGAAUUACUGGGCGUAAAGGGCGCGUAGGCGGCCUGUUAAGUCGAACGUGAAAUCCCCGGGCUCAACCCGGGAACUGCGUCCGAUACUGGCAGGCUUGAAUCCGGGAGAGGGAUGUGGAAUUCCAGGUGUAGCGGUGAAAUGCGCAGAUAUCAGGAGGAACACCGGUGGCGAAGGCGGAUCUCUGGGCCGAUACUGACGCUGAGGAGCGAAAGCGUGGGGAGCGAACAGG
RNAcentral lists this ribosomal RNA (253 nucleotides) under uncultured bacterium. RNAcentral's name for it is "partial 16S ribosomal RNA". It matches the Rfam family "Bacterial small subunit ribosomal RNA", at positions 524 to 776 of the family's 1533-position model. The record is from RNAcentral.